GGGUUAACCAAAUCUGGGUUAUUCUCAUGCAACACACACAUAUGGUGAAGAAAUCAAACACAAGGUAUAGAAAAGUACCACCUAUACAGAUAUUAUAUUGAAGACAGAAAAUAAACAGCAAUAUAUAUACUGAAAAGAUAAGUGAGCAGAAGCAAGUUCUGGGCUGCUUGAGUCUGAACCUGGUGAAGAAUUUUCCGGUUGAUGGAGACGAUCGAAUCCCAGAACUUAUAUCAAGAUCUUUAAUGUGAAGGAUGUAUAAGUAGCGGCACUUGCUUAUGCUUCUUCACUGCCACUUUGAUUGCCAUAUUUGAGUAUAUUGAACUUGCAAAGAGGACAAGUUGCGUUCAUGUACAACCACUUGUCUAUGCAGACAGAGUGAAAAUGGUGACGACAAGGGAGCUCACGCAGCUCAAUUCCAUCUUCAUAGGGACAAAGGCAGAUGCAACAUUCGGCAUCUUCCAAUGGAAGAACAUGCUCAAUGGGUGUAUCAGUGUCACAUUCAGUCAUUACUCCUCCAAAUGAUUCUUGAAUCUCGCCAUUUUGUUUUUCAAAUUUACCAAGUCUUCGAAACUUGUAUUUAGUCAAUCUCUCAACGUCUUCCUUGGUUGCUCCUUCCUGGUCUGCCACUGCAUAUAAAAUAGCGAUGAUACAUGGUAAACAGCAACAAACAGCAAUUCCAAUGAGACAUGCCACGGCAACACAUAUAACAACAAAGAAUACAUCAAAUGCUAGAAAUGUGAGACACAGCCAGUAAAGUUGAGGUGCAUCACGGGCCAAACUGUCGCCACCAGCAGAUAUCCAAUAGAAACCAAUUAUCCACCAAAUGAAAGAAAACAUGGUAUUUGCAGAUUCCAGAUGCUUAGCUACACUAAUUUCAUCCUCAUUCUGACGCCCCUCAGACUGAUAAUCACCAGUUUCACCGCUGUCACUUCCGGAACUCGAACUGUUCCAACCUCCAGCAGCGUUUCUCUGCUCGGAAUUCAAAAUUGGAGAUGAAUCGCUAAGCUGAAUUCGGCGUCUAUACUCAACGCAAACACAAACCAUGUGAAGCAAACACUGUAAAGCAUAUCCAACAAUCCAAAGCCUCAAAGGCAUAGAAGGUAACUCAUCAUGGCUCAGAAUCAACACAGAAACUGAGACAAUCACAAAAGCUAAGUUCCAGAUAAGAUCCAAUAUCACUAUAGGUUUGGAAUAUGCCCAAUCGCUUUGUCGUUCCUCUAUGUGCUCAGCUGCAGCUUCCCUCACGCGCCUUGACGGCUCCCGCAUCAGUCGGUGGUUACUUGCUCGCCGGAGAAAUCGAGCCGCUCCUCUUAGGGUCGGGGCCCGGCGCGCCAACCGUCGGCUCCUAAAAACCUGAUCGGUAAGCAACGGAGUCGUAUCUACACCAUUAGAACUAUCGUCAUUACCGGCUCUCGCCGUCGACAUCGUCACCAGAAUAUAAAAUUGACCGAGAAAGGAUCGACGGUGAACUAUUGUAAUUUAGAAAAUUUUGAGAAAGAAGAAAUUCAAAGUUCUGGGCGUCACCAUUAG
This 1530-nucleotide unclassified non-coding RNA is filed under the name Hevea brasiliensis (rubber tree). Lineage: Eukaryota; Viridiplantae; Streptophyta; Magnoliopsida; Malpighiales; Euphorbiaceae. The record is from RNAcentral.